Long non-coding RNA from Pipra filicauda (Wire-tailed manakin), 604 nucleotides. RefSeq lists it as uncharacterized. The transcript is spliced from 4 exons. NCBI's taxonomy places the organism in Eukaryota, Metazoa, Chordata, Aves, Passeriformes, Pipridae. The record is from RefSeq and is a predicted model, not a curated record.
AGGGCUGUUGUAGGCAGCUCCAGUUAAUUUUGUUCUUUUUCACUAUUAAUUAUUAUUGGAAACAAUUUCCAGUGAAUUUAAAUCCUCAUGUCUAUGCAGUAGGGCUGCAUCGUGCUCUGGAUUUGCAUGUGGAAAGGUGCAGUUUUCUCUACAGAAAUACAUUGUUCACCAAGGAGAUAGAAUACUUCACUACAAUGCCCCACAGCCCCUAAAACCAGAUGGUCCAGGCAGAAUUUACCGCUGAACUUUGUUCCCCUGGAGAUGGGAGCUUCCCUCCCUGGAAGGAGCCCUUCCAAAAGCCGCCUCUGAGUUGCUAAGAAACAGCUUGUCACUGUGGCAUGGGCUGUAAUCAGUUGUGUACAGAGCGUUCAACGCUCCUGGUACGUCUGCAUCAAUUAUGCAUCGUCGGUGUGAUUUUUCUUCCUGUGGAAACUUGGCUUCCAGAGGCUCUUUGUGGUGCUCCAGCCAUGACCUAAACCCUCCUCUGCUGAAUAAUUCCUACCGAGACAACACAGUUUCCCCGCUGUGUUUUCCACGCUGCCGUGUUUCAGCAAGGCAAAUAAAUCAGGCUGUCUCCUGCCACCGGGCAGCCUUGUUUGCUCAA